RNAcentral lists this ribosomal RNA (885 nucleotides) under uncultured organism. RNAcentral describes it as "bacterial SSU rRNA". It matches the Rfam family "Bacterial small subunit ribosomal RNA", at positions 55 to 921 of the family's 1533-position model. The record is from RNAcentral.
AUGCAAGUCGAGCGAGAAAGUACCCUUCGGGGUGCGAGUACAGCGGCGAACGGGUGAGUAACACGUAAGCAAUCUGCCCCUAAAUCUGGGAUAACUCUGCCAACGCGGGGCUAAUACCGGAUGUGGUCACGACAUCGCAUGGUGUUGUGAUUAAAGAUGGCUUCGGCUAUCGUUUAGGGAUGAGCUUGCGGCCCAUUAGCUUGUUGGUGAGGUAACGGCUCACCAAGGCGACGAUGGGUAGCCGACCUGAGAGGGUGAUCGGCCACAUUGGGACUGAGAUACGGCCCAGACUCCUACGGGAGGCAGCAGUAGGGAAUUUUGCGCAAUGGACGAAAGUCUGACGCAGCGACGCCGCGUGAGGGAUGACGGCCUUCGGGUUGUAAACCUCUGUUGAGUGGGACGAAAACUCGCAGGGUUAAUACCCCUGCGACCUGACGGUACCACUCGAGGAAGCUCCGGCUAACUACGUGCCAGCAGCCGCGGUAAUACGUAGGGAGCAAGCGUUGUUCGGAAUCACUGGGCGUAAAGGGAGUGUAGGCGGGAAAGUAAGUUAGGAGUGAAAUACACAGGCUUAACCUGUGGCCCGCUCUUAAUACUGCUUUUCUUGAGUAUGGGAGAGGAAGAUGGAAUUCCAGGUGUAGCGGUGGAAUGCGUAGAUAUCUGGAAGAACACCAGUAGCGAAGGCGGUCUUCUGGCCCAAUACUGACGCUGAGGCUCGAAAGCUAGGGGAGCAAACAGGAUUAGAUACCCUGGUAGUCCUAGCCGUAAACGAUGGACACUAGUUGUCGGGGGAGUCAAUCCCUUCGGUGACGAAGCUAACGCAUUAAGUGUCCCGCAUGGGGAGUACGCUCGCAAGGGUGAAACUCAAAGGAAUUGACGGGGGCC